GACGAACGCUGGCGGCGUGCUUAACACAUGCAAGUCGAGCGGUAAGGCCCUUUCGGGGGUACACGAGCGGCGAACGGGUGAGUAACACGUGGGUGACCUGCCUUUAGCUCUGGGAUAAGCCUGGGAAACUGGGUCUAAUACCGGAUAUGACUCCGCGGUGCAUGCUGUGGGGUGGAAANCCUUGUGCGGCUGGAGAUGGGCCCGCGGCCUAUCAGCUUGUUGGUGGGGUGAGGCCUACCAAGGCGACGACGGGUAGCCGGCCUGAGAGGGCGACCGGCCACACUGGGACUGAGACACGGCCCAGACUCCUACGGGAGGCAGCAGUGGGGAAUCUUGCGCAAUGGGCGAAAGCCUGACGCAGCGACGCCGCGUGAGGGAUGACGGCCU
This 387-nucleotide ribosomal RNA is filed under the name uncultured bacterium. Its description in RNAcentral is "bacterial SSU rRNA". It matches the Rfam family "Bacterial small subunit ribosomal RNA", at positions 28 to 417 of the family's 1533-position model. The record is from RNAcentral.